This is a small nucleolar RNA of Sorex araneus (European shrew), 211 nucleotides long. RefSeq annotates it as small nucleolar RNA U3. NCBI's taxonomy places the organism in Eukaryota, Metazoa, Chordata, Mammalia, Eulipotyphla, Soricidae. The record is from RefSeq and is a predicted model, not a curated record. The transcript has a single exon.
AAGACUAUACUUUCAGGGAUGUUUUUUAUAGUUCGUUACUAGAGAAGUUUCUCUGAUAGUUUAGAGCACCUGAAACCACCACAAGGAGUCAGAGCAUCCUCUCCUGAGAAUGAAACCAAUUCUAGGUGGAGAUUUUGUAACUGUCUUUUACCAUUGAUGAUGGUUCUCUUCCUCUGGCAGAGUGAGAGGGGGAAGAUGUAGUCUGAGUGGA